UAGUGCAACAGCUCUUUUAGAAUUUGUCUAGCAGGUUUUCCAGUCCUCACUGGAGGAUCCCC
RNAcentral lists this small nuclear RNA (62 nucleotides) under Microcebus murinus (gray mouse lemur). Its description in RNAcentral is "U7 small nuclear RNA (ENSMICG00000048089.1)". It matches the Rfam family "U7 small nuclear RNA". Rfam says of the family: Animal histone pre-mRNAs are spliced by a different mechanism than nuclear pre-mRNAs and self-splicing introns. This processing involves the U7 snRNP, which contains only one RNA species: U7. The record is from Rfam by way of RNAcentral. Lineage: Eukaryota; Metazoa; Chordata; Mammalia; Primates; Cheirogaleidae.